AUAUGUAUUUGUUGCUGCAAAUCAAUGGCUUAUUGAAUUCUGUUUUUGGCUGCAGUUUUUCUCAUCAAAUGGUUUUCCUUGCCCAAGUCUCUAAUUUACAAUGUUCUCUUUGCCUCGUGCUCUCUCCUACCAGGGAGCUAGCUCAACAAGUAUGCUUCUUAUCUUUUAAUGCAUAGGUUGUUGUUUCAUUGAUUUUAGGCUCUUUAUCUUCAAAACCAGUGUCGC
This 225-nucleotide long non-coding RNA is filed under the name Arachis ipaensis. RNAcentral's name for it is "long non-coding RNA (AIPA_LNC000354)". Lineage: Eukaryota; Viridiplantae; Streptophyta; Magnoliopsida; Fabales; Fabaceae. The record is from RNAcentral.